UUCAUCUCUGUUCGUAUUACAGAUAAGAUGUCUCUUGAUCUGCUCGGCGUGUCUGCCUUAUCCAUCGGAACUACCAGCGCGCCGUAUGCUUCCUGCGUCACGAACAGUCAACAAGUUUUCAUCUGAGAAGCACGACGUCCUCUGUUAACAAUGGGAUAGACCAACAACAUAUAAGCGACUGCAAGACAGCGUUUCAACUGGGCACGGCACGGCUGUGAUGGCAUAUUCAUCUCCGUUCGUAUUACAGGUGAACCAGAAGUCAGGGAACCCAUGCAAGAAUAUCAUCAACUGGCUUUUCGGAUCUCCAGCGGACACGUAGUGCAGUGUGACGUCCUGGAAAUAACAACUGCCAUGUAACUCGCCCUUGAUGGUUCUAAACGAGUGCAAAGUGAAAGACGGCAAAAGUCGUCUAUAUUUCGGCAGACACCGUACAGUUUCCCAUCUGAAAUGCCUGGCCCAUUGAGUCAAUGCCUACGGCUAUAGUACCUAAGGAAGGUGACCUUGUCCGAGUCCGGCUCUAGAUUGCACUGGUAGUAAAGUAGAAUGUCGAAUAAUUGCAAGCAUCACAAACUGCGAACGAAAAACACAGAAACUAUGGGUAGCUUCGACAUGUGGUCCUGCGAUUGCUCUAGAGCGCCCCGGCAAGACACUUUGUCUUGCUGGAUAGAACGAGCACUCUCUUCACUCUCUUUUCGAGAACUUGUCUCCGACUGUAAGAUACGGCAGGGUUCCGGUCACGUGAUCUGUGCCACCGACCGAGGACCGGUACAAAGAAGUCCAGUGUCUACAGAACGACGGAUGGAUUCCCGUAGAAAGGCAGGCAUCCGAUGAAGUACAUAUCAUGACUGGCACGGUUGGUUACCUCUUUAUAUAGUACUGCGUUUAGUACUGGAUUCAUAGCGUCGUCGGAGAAUAAUAACAAUAAGGAAAAUAACAAUGCUUUUGCCUCCCACUGUGUCUUUAGUGAAUGAGUCCAGUUUUCCAACGAGUCCCAAAGUGCACUAUGGCCUAUAACGAUAAGAAAGCAGAGGCAUAACAAUUACCGUGCGCUGUUAUCAUGGAAGCUGCGAUAAGGUGCGCUAAACUUAGUGUUUGUAUAUUUUGAUAUCAGUGCAGGCGACUGCCAAUGAUGUUUACCGUUAUUCUGCAAUGCUCCGUGAGGUGCCGAAGAAGAAUUCCGUUUACUCCAGCAGAGUUACGGAAUCGUACAAAAGGACAGAAUGAGCAGUUGCAGUGUUAUAUUGCGAAAUGUACUAUUUUAUGAAUACUCUUCUUCGUGGAGUGAUAAACCAUCAGAACGCAAAGGGAACUUAAGCAGGCCCGUCCAAGCGUGAACGUCCAAGUGGCCUGUGCCAACAUCACCACUAGGAGCAACAACAUUGCGACUCAGAGAGACAACUAUGAUACGCAUUGAAUAAUAAUAAAAAAAUUUCGAGACACAA
Long non-coding RNA from Ornithodoros turicata, 1442 nucleotides. RefSeq lists it as uncharacterized. The record is from RefSeq and is a predicted model, not a curated record. The transcript has 2 exons. Lineage: Eukaryota; Metazoa; Arthropoda; Arachnida; Ixodida; Argasidae.